Vicugna pacos (alpaca) is the source of this 1025-nucleotide non-coding RNA. Lineage: Eukaryota; Metazoa; Chordata; Mammalia; Artiodactyla; Camelidae. The record is from RefSeq and is a predicted model, not a curated record.
AAUCAAGUAUCCUAUCUGGAAGCUGGAGCUGUUCAGUAGAUGUAAUCGUAUGAAGUCUGUGUAAUCCUCUGAUUGAAAGGUGUGGUUUCUUAUUCCUGACUGGAUCCUGAUGAUUCACUAACAAAUAGUUACUGAGCUCCCAUUAUGUACCAGACACCAUGCUGGGUACCGGAAACGCAGCAGAAAAUGAGGAAGACAAGAUUCUGGUCCUUGAUGCCUCUCCAGUUUCCAUAAUGAACAAGAAUCAUACAUUUUUGAAGAGACUCAACUCUUCCUAUAAAUACUAAACAGCUUAAAAUCCUGGAAGCCUGUCAGUGACUUCAAAGCAUUUCUUUCCUCCAUCCCUGACCCCCCAAACUGCUGUCUCUUGGUUUUAAACAAGCUGAGGGUCAAAUUAUCCUAAUUCUCAUAGGACAAAUUCUAGUUCCCAAAGGAAUCAUUUUUGUGUGACCUGUAGAGUGGGAACAACAGUUUUCCCUUCCCUGAACCAGAAUUUGUUCUGUUGCCUCCACCUACGUUGGAGGAAGUCAUGUCCCUGCAGGAUGUUGCCCUCAGGCCUCCACGUAGACCCUGAGCCUCUGAUGUGGACAGCAAACCACAGACUCUGGACCAACACACCUCUCUUGAAAACAUCUUUGAUGAAGCAGCUCCCCUCCUUGCACAAACACAACAAUUAACUUAAGCAGGUAAAAUUGUGUCUUGGGAAGAUAAUGAGGUUGACUUCCCUGCCUGCCUAAUUUUGCCUGUGUGUGUCUGGUAUCUUGUCUUGGACCUCAUCCAGCUCACCCCAGGGAAAGCAUAGCUGGUAGACUCCAUGGUGCUUUAAUGAAGCGCCUGCCUGUGAAGCAACAUCAAAGUUGCUCCAGCUUCAAAACAAGUUACAUUCUGGCAGCUGCAAUUUUGGGGGCAGUAGGGGGAACUCUGUUCACCCCUCUGGUAGGUGAACUAAUGACAAGAGCACAAGAACCACUGCUUUUGGCUGUCACAUGUAUCCCCGAGCCCCGAGUCAGCCCAUCUAUUUUAUA